CCUACGGGAGGCAGCAGUGGGGAAUAUUGGACAAUGGGCGCAAGCCUGAUCCAGCAAUGCCGCGUGAGUGAGGAAGGCCUUAGGGUUGUAAAGCUCUUUCGCACGCGACGAUGAUGACGGUAGCGUGAGAAGAAGCCCCGGCUAACUUCGUGCCAGCAGCCGCGGU
RNAcentral lists this ribosomal RNA (166 nucleotides) under uncultured Azospirillum sp. Its description in RNAcentral is "partial 16S ribosomal RNA". It matches the Rfam family "Bacterial small subunit ribosomal RNA", at positions 338 to 521 of the family's 1533-position model. Lineage: Bacteria; Pseudomonadati; Pseudomonadota; Alphaproteobacteria; Rhodospirillales; Azospirillaceae. The record is from RNAcentral.